CUUCCAUAUCAGAUGGUCGCUCCUGCGUUAGUGGGGGAGGAAAGUCCGAACACUCCCGAGCAUCAGCAAUGGUGCUUGGAGUAGGGUAGCGGGUAACGCCCGUCGAAAGUAAUUUCAGAGGUGCGAGCAGUGACGCCGAUGCCGAAAGGCUAGGAUUCCUUCGGGAAUAUGUUCGUCGAAAGGCGAAAGUGAAACGGCUAAAUCCUUACCUGGGUGCAAGGCCGUGCCGAGCACCAGCAAUGGUGCUCGGAGUGCCGCUCGAGGGUGCGAGUAAUCGCACUCCCAGAUAAAUGACCAUCAUCGAGCAUCAGUAAUGGUGCUUGGUACAGAAUUCGGCUUAUAGAUAUGGUAUAUGA
Molecule: RNase P RNA, 356 nt
Filed under: Candidatus Yonathbacteria bacterium
Lineage: Bacteria; Candidatus Yonathiibacteriota
Description: RNase P RNA component class A
Rfam family: Bacterial RNase P class A
About the family: Ribonuclease P (RNase P) is a ubiquitous endoribonuclease, found in archaea, bacteria and eukarya as well as chloroplasts and mitochondria. Its best characterised activity is the generation of mature 5'-ends of tRNAs by cleaving the 5'-leader elements of precursor-tRNAs. Cellular RNase Ps are ribonucleoproteins.
Source: RNAcentral